Molecule: long non-coding RNA, 1887 nt
Organism: Dreissena polymorpha
Lineage: Eukaryota; Metazoa; Mollusca; Bivalvia; Myida; Dreissenidae
Exons: 3
Source: RefSeq, a predicted model, not a curated record
AUAAAAGAUCACGGUUGGCCUGAAUUAUUUCGACCAAUCAAUCAAAAGCACUCUUUACGGCAACAAAGAUGGAGGCAUCCAGUUCUGUUGCAGUACCGACGGUUUAGGGACGUCUUGGCAUCUAAGUGCAGAAUUUGAAGCAAAUGUGACAUCAACCCUCUAGACCGAUGAGAGAAACAACACUGAACUUAAAUUUCGGAUAUAACCCUGAACAAUUGUCAUCAAUCACAUGACAUGCUGCUCACCACUAGAGGAAGACCCCUAUUGAAUUUGGCUUUGAUUCCUCUAAGUUCUUUAUGCCAAGACGAAGACUUCUAUCCAUUUUGGUGUUGAUACUCCAAAGGUCAAGGUCACAUCUUUACCCGGUAUAUGGUUUUGUUGUAUGAAAAUAGUAUCUGAGAGAUAUACUUAAGUACCUCUUGACACUCUCAACCUAAGUUGCCUGUAACUAACAGAACACAAGGUCAAGCUCACAUUCUAACCUUUCUAUUUCAUGAAGUAAUUUCUCAUCUGUCCUGGGAACACAUAAUAUGAUAAUUGUAUUUUCAUGUUUUUUGCCAAGAAAUUUCUAUUCAGGAUCUUUUAUUGUAUGGUAGCAUAUGAACGUACUAUUGUACUGUAAAUAUGCAUUUAGGAUGGCAUGCAUGUUUCACAAACAUUUUUAGCUCAUCUAUUUUUUGAAAAAAAAUUAUGAGCUAUUGUCAUCACCUUGGCGUCGGCGUCGGCGUCGGCGUCGGCGUUGGCGUUGGCGUCGGCGUCCGGUUAAGUUUUGCGUUUAGGUCCACUUUUCUCAGAAAGUAUCAAUGCUAUUGCAUUCAAACUUGGUACACUUACUUACUAUCAUGAGGGGACUGGACAGGCAAAGUAAGAUAACUCUGGCGUGCAUUUUGACAGAAUUAUGUGCCCUUUUUAUACUUAAAAAAUUGAAAAUUUUGGUUAAGUUUUGCGUUUAGUUCCACUUUUCUCAGUAAGUAUCAAUGCUAUUGCAUUCAAACUUGGUACACUUACUUACUAUCAUGAGGGGACUGGGCAGGCAAAGUUAGAUAACUCUGGCAUGCAUUUUGACAGAAUUAUGUGCCCUUUUUAUACUUGGAAAAUUGACAAUUUUGGUUAAGUUUUGUGUUUAGGUCCAUUUUAUUCCUUAAGCAUCAAAGCUAUUGCUUUCAUACUUGCAACACUUACUAACUAUCAUAAGGGGACUGUGCAGGCAAAGUAAUGUAACUCUGACUGGCAUUUUGACAGAAUUAUGUGCCCUUUUUAUACUUAGAAAAUUGAAAAUUUGAUUAAGUUUUGUGUUUAGGUCCACUUUAUUCAUACAGUAUCAAAGCUAUUGCUUUCAUACUUGCAAGAUUUAUGAACUAUCAUAAGGGGACGGUGCAGGCAAAGUUAUGUAACUCUGACUGGCAUUUGGACGGAAUUAUGGGCCAUUUAUACUUAGAAAAUUGAAAAUUUGGUUAAGAUUUAUGUUUUGGUCCACUUUACCCCUAAAGUAUCAUAGAUAUUGCUUUCAUACUUGGAACACUCACAAACUAUCAUAAGGGUACAGUAAAAGGACAAGUUGCAUAACUCUGGUUGUCAUUGUUACGGAAUUAUGGCCCUUUUUUGACUUAGUAACUUUUAAUAUAUGGUUAAAUUUUGUGUUUCGAUCCACUCGAAGUAUCAAGGCUAUUGCUUUCAAACUUCAAAUACUUACAUGCUAUCAUGAGGUUACUGUACCUGGCAACUUGAAUUUUACUUUGACCUUUGAAUGACCUUGACUCUCAAGGUCAAAUUAUUAAAUUUUGCUAAAAUUGCCAUAACUUCUUUAUUUAUGAUUAGAUUUGAUUGAUACUUUGAUGAAACUACUCUUACCUGACAUACCACAAUAGACUUCACCCAAACCAUCCC